GGAUUCUUUUUGUUUUACGGGUGGCACGACAGGCUGUGUUUAACGGAGAGAUCGAUACGGACGAGCAGUUGAAGAAGUACGUGUUCCCCAGACGGACGGACAGAGAGUUACAUUAGAGAGACAGACAAGGUUAUAGAAUAGUUGUUUAAGAUUGUAAAGACUGAAGAUUUAAGAUUUAAAGACUGGAGAAGAAAAAUCGGUAGCUCAGGACGUUCAGACUUCAGAAUCGAUCCCUGAAUUAUCCCAUUAUUCAACCAUAUAAAUCGAUUUUCGCCACGUCAUGCCACUGAGAGUUAACCUACGCGUCGUCAUGACCGAGAACGCGAAAGGGGAGAAGAUAGAGAGUAUAAAAUAUACAGACAACAAAUGACCUAAUAGGAGUAUAUUUAAAUAUAUUAUGCAAACGUUGGACAACGUUAUGUUUUGUUAAUCUAACAGGAUACAUUAAAAGUACAUUAUCAAGAAAGGGGAUGUGGCCCGUAAGCAAGUAUGUUCUUCUCGAUAUGACCAUCAGACAGUACCUGUGAUGCGGUUAUCCCGGAAGUACAUUGCGGAGUCGGUAGAGAGCGUUUCCUGACCUCUCGCCAGGGAGACAAUAGAUGAGGAUUUAAGGGUGUCGAAUCGGGAUCCAUGCAACGCGGAGGCGACUCGUUCCUUCGCCCUUCCUCUUCCUCUUCGCCCGAUGUGCUUUCCUCUAUGACGGUUUGAAGCUCGCCAUAGUUUGCCUUCACAUUCACAUUCGGGCUUCUCAUCUUGAUUUAGGCAAAUUCUCACUUGAACAUAAAUAAAACGUUUCUUCGUUGAAACCGUAUCAUAGUGGAGAACGAUCGAACAGUACAAAAGAAUGAAUAAAAAUAAGUCACAUUUUUAUUAAUUUUCUUUUGUAUCUAAAAACAAAUCUGAUAGAUUCAAAGAUACAAGAUCUUCCGAUCUUCCUUUAUUGCACGGACGAGCAGUUGAAGAAGCACUUGUUCCCCAGACGGAUGGACAGAGAGUUACAUUCCAGAGACAGACAAGGUUAUAGAAUAGCUGUUUGAGAUUGUGAAGACUGAAGAUUUAAGAUUUAAAGACUGGAGAAGAAAAAUCGGUAGCUCAGGACAUUCAGACUUCAGAAUCGAUCCCUGAAUUAUCGCAUUAU
This is a long non-coding RNA of Bombus terrestris (buff-tailed bumblebee), 1138 nucleotides long. RefSeq lists it as uncharacterized. The transcript has 3 exons. NCBI's taxonomy places the organism in Eukaryota, Metazoa, Arthropoda, Insecta, Hymenoptera, Apidae. The record is from RefSeq and is a predicted model, not a curated record.